UUUGCAGGAAUGACACUACAAAGCUCCAGUAAAGAAGAGAGAGACUUUGAUUUGUGACACUACAAGCUUGGACACCCUUCAUUCAAAUCUUAUUUUGAUUUUGAUAUGUUAGCAAACAAAGAGUCUAAGUUAUGUUAUGUACAUCCAUUGGCAAAGAUGCAUGAACUUUCAUUUUUUUAUAGUAGUAAUAAAGAAUAACAAUGUUUUGAUUUAAUACAUUGCGAUACUUGGGGAUCUUGUAAUGAAAUUUCUUAUGAUG
RNAcentral lists this long non-coding RNA (259 nucleotides) under Carica papaya (papaya). RNAcentral describes it as "long non-coding RNA (CPAP_LNC012008)". Lineage: Eukaryota; Viridiplantae; Streptophyta; Magnoliopsida; Brassicales; Caricaceae. The record is from RNAcentral.